UUGCAGGCAUCAAAUGAAAGAUUGAUAAAGAAUCCAAGGACCAUUGGAAAAAAAGUGUGAUGUGUUGAGCAUUGGUUGGUCAUGUUCAUCGAUUGCAUGACUAAUUUAUUCAUUAACUGGUCCAGGGGGAGGCUGAGAAAAUUAGAGAGAGCAACAUAGGUUUGCGUGAACCUUGUGUCUCCAAAUUGAGAUAUUUUCCUUUUCAAUAAUUUGCUUUGUCCUAAUUAUUAUUUGUUAAGAGCAUUCAUUUAUCGGUAUGACCAUUCUGCACGUCGCACCAUCAUGGAUUAGUUCAAACAGUUAGAUGCAUGUUUGAGGUUUAGCUUGGUUCUUCUGAGUCUACUCUUUAUUUCACCAAUAUGGGGCUUGAUCCUUUCCCAGAGUCUCCAGAUGCAGGACAGUCUGGCUCAACAGGUGAACUUGGUCAUCCCAUUGAUGUUGCACCAAAAGAGGACCCUCAGGUACAACCCCCUGGUUCUUCCAUUGAUACUACUUCACAAGAUGACCCACAUGUCCAAUCUCUUAAUCCUUCCAUUGAUGCUACUUAGCAAGAGGUCCCUCUUACCACCCUUCUAUGCUCCGCCGGUCAGAACGGGAUUAUCACAAGAGAUGAUGUUGCAGGAAUUCAAGAGCUCAAGUCUCAUUUACAUCAGCAUUUUGAGAUGAAGGAUUUGGGCCCUCUAAGUUAUUUCUUAGGCCUGGAGGUGACUUGUGGCAAGGAUGGAUAUUACUUGUCCCAAAUUAAGUAUGCUUCUGAUUUGUUGUCGAGAGCACAGUUCACAGAUAGCAAAGUCACAUCCAGGCUUCUGGAUUAUAAUGUCGAGCUUACUCCUGCUAAUGGUAUCCUACUCUCUACCAUCAGCUGGUUGAAGGUCUCAUGUAUUUGACUGUCACCCAACCUGACAUCGCCUACUGUGAAUACUGUCAGUCAGUUCAUGGCAGCUCAAUGAUCAUCACAUUAUACAGCGGUUAUGCAUAUUCUCCGUUAUGUGAAGUGCACUAUGUUUCAUGGGUUGUGGUUUUCUUUUGACUCUUCUCUCCAGUUGCGAGCCUUUAGUGAUGCCAAUUGGGCUGGUGAUUCUACAGACCGCAGACCCACCACUGGAUAUUGCUUCUUUCUUGGAGAUUAACGCAUCUCUUCGAGGAGUAAGAAGCAAAUCGUAGCUCGCUCUAGCACUAAAGCGGAGUACCGUGUACUUGCAGAUACAGUGGCAGGACUACUUUGGCUUCGGCGAUUGUUAACAGACAUUGGGAUUCAUCAUGUCGAAGCCACCACACUUCAGUGUGACAAUCAGAGUUCCCUGCAGAUUGCUCAUAACGAUGUUUUUCACGAGCGGACCAAGCAUAUUGAGACUGAUGUCACUUUAUCCGUCAGCACAUUAUUAAUGGUUUGGUUCAUUUACAAUACGUCUCUUCGUAGGAACAACCCGCUGAUAUCUUUAAGAAACUCAUCCUCCAAGACGUUUUCAAAGCUUACUUCACGAACUCUAGAUGGUGUCCACUGCACCCUCUUGAGUUUGAGGGGGGUUGUGAAUGUAUAUGUAUAUGUAUAUGUAUAUGUGCAUUAGUCUAGAUUCGUCUAUGACUGAUUCUUAGUGUAUAUUAGGUAGGAUUUGAUUUUGCGUAAUUGAUUGUGUAGAUGUAUUUCCUUAUAUAUGAUCGAGCUCCACACUAUAAAAUUGGAGGCUCUCAUUGUAUUUCAGAUGUCAACAAUUGAAUACAUAAUUUUCCUCUCAA
Molecule: non-coding RNA, 1737 nt
Organism: Punica granatum (pomegranate)
Lineage: Eukaryota; Viridiplantae; Streptophyta; Magnoliopsida; Myrtales; Lythraceae
Source: RefSeq, a predicted model, not a curated record